Molecule: unclassified non-coding RNA, 167 nt
Filed under: soil metagenome
Description: partial internal transcribed spacer 1
Source: RNAcentral
UCAAAAGUCAUGAGUGGUGCUGAGCCCUAGUGGCUCUGCCUGAUAUUACACCCAAGUCUUUUGCUGACUCGUUGUUUCCUCGGCGGUGCUAAGUCGCCCGCAUGGACCCAACAUAAACCUUUCUUGUAAUUUGCCAAUCAGCGUCAUUAAAUAUAAUUAAUUAUUUA